Molecule: transfer RNA, 64 nt
Filed under: Loxodonta africana (African savanna elephant)
Lineage: Eukaryota; Metazoa; Chordata; Mammalia; Proboscidea; Elephantidae
Rfam family: tRNA
About the family: Transfer RNA (tRNA) molecules are approximately 80 nucleotides in length. Their secondary structure includes four short double-helical elements and three loops (D, anti-codon, and T loops).
Source: Rfam by way of RNAcentral
GCCCCUAUGGUUAAACUCUUGGCUGCUAACCUAAAGGUUGGUGGUUAGAACCCACCCAGUGGCU